AAGAGAUGGCGACCGGCGCACGGGUGAGUAACACGUAUCCAACCUGCCGAUAACUCCGGAAUAGCCUUUCGAAAGAAAGAUUAAUACCGGAUGGCAUACGAAUAUCGCAUGAUAUUUUUAUUUAAGGAAUUUCGGUUAUCGAUGGGGAUGCGUUCCAUUAGUUUGUUGGCGGGGUAACGGCCCACCAAGACUACGAUGGAUAGGGGUUCUGAGAGGAAGGUCCCCCACAUUGGAACUGAGACACGGUCCAA
RNAcentral lists this ribosomal RNA (251 nucleotides) under uncultured bacterium. RNAcentral's name for it is "partial 16S ribosomal RNA". It matches the Rfam family "Bacterial small subunit ribosomal RNA", at positions 83 to 334 of the family's 1533-position model. The record is from RNAcentral.